UGGGGAAUCUUGCGCAAUGCGCGAAAGCGUGACGCAGCAACGCCGCGUGGAGGAAGACGGUCUUCGGAUUGUAAACUCCUUUCAGUUGGGACGAAGCUCAACGGGUUAAUAGCCCGGCGGAGUGACGGUACCUUCAGAAGAAGCCCCGGCUAACUACGUGCCAGCAGCCGCGGUAAUACGUAGGGGGCUAGCGUUGUCCGGAAUCAUUGGGCGUAAAGCGCGUGUAGGCGGUCCGGUAAGUCCGCUGUGAAAGUCGGGGGCUCAACCCUCGAAUGCCGGUGGAUACUGUCGGGCUAGAGUGCGGAAGAGGCGAGUGGAAUUCCUGGUGUAGCGGUGAAAUGCGCAGAUAUCAGGAGGAACACCAAUUGCGAAGGCAGCUCGCUGGGACGUAACUGACGCUGAGACGCGAAAGCGUGGGGAGCAAACA
RNAcentral lists this ribosomal RNA (427 nucleotides) under uncultured Solirubrobacter sp. RNAcentral describes it as "bacterial SSU rRNA". It matches the Rfam family "Bacterial small subunit ribosomal RNA", at positions 355 to 774 of the family's 1533-position model. The record is from RNAcentral. Lineage: Bacteria; Bacillati; Actinomycetota; Thermoleophilia; Solirubrobacterales; Solirubrobacteraceae.